UACGUAGGUGGCAAGCGUUGUCCGGAAUCAUUGGGCGUAAAGGGCGCGUAGGUGGCGGGACAAGCGUGCGGUGAAAGCCUGGGGCUCAACCCCGGGUCGGCCGUGCGAACUGUUUUGCUUGAGCACUGUAGAGGCAGGCGGAAUUCCGGGUGUAGCGGUGGAAUGCGUAGAGAUCCGGAAGAACACCGGUGGCGAAGGCGGCCUGCUGGGCAGUAGCUGACACUGAGGUGCGAAAGCGUGGGGAGCAAACAGG
This 253-nucleotide ribosomal RNA is filed under the name uncultured bacterium. Its description in RNAcentral is "partial 16S ribosomal RNA". It matches the Rfam family "Bacterial small subunit ribosomal RNA", at positions 524 to 776 of the family's 1533-position model. The record is from RNAcentral.